GAUGAACGCUGGCGGCGUGCUUAACACAUGCAAGUCGAACGGGAAUUACUUUAUUGAAACUUCGGUCGAUAUGAUUUAAUUCUAGUGGCGGACGGGUGAGUAACGCGUGGGUAACCUGCCUUGUACAGGGGGAUAACAGUCAGAAAUGGCUGCUAAUACCGCAUAAGCGCACAGGACCGCAUGGUCCGGUGUGAAAAACUCCGGUGGUAUAAGAUGGACCCGCGUUGGAUUAGCUUGUUGGCAGGGUAACGGCCUACCAAGGCGACGAUCCAUAGCCGGCCUGAGAGGGUGAACGGCCACAUUGGGACUGAGACACGGCCCAGACUCCUACGGGAGGCAGCAGUGGGGAAUAUUGCACAAUGGGGGAAACCCUGAUGCAGCGACGCCGCGUGAAGGAAGAAGUAUCUCGGUAUGUAAACUUCUAUCAGCAGGGAAGAAAAUGACGGU
RNAcentral lists this ribosomal RNA (447 nucleotides) under uncultured bacterium. Its description in RNAcentral is "bacterial SSU rRNA". It matches the Rfam family "Bacterial small subunit ribosomal RNA", at positions 28 to 458 of the family's 1533-position model. The record is from RNAcentral.